Molecule: ribosomal RNA, 1175 nt
Filed under: Eurotiomycetes sp. genotype 716 JMUR-2016
Lineage: Eukaryota; Fungi; Ascomycota; Eurotiomycetes
Description: eukaryotic LSU rRNA
Rfam family: Eukaryotic large subunit ribosomal RNA (bases 592-1175)
Source: RNAcentral
GUGUUUCCUCAGGAAUGAUAACCCGCACCAGCCUGUGAAAGCAGGCUGUAGUGUUGCUCUCUUUAGGGAGAGCCCCGCGGCGCUCGUCGCGAUGAGGGUUAGAAGUCUGGGGGCUCAGCCUGCGUUUGGUGCUUGGUGCUGCGUCUUCUCAUCUUACCACCACCCUUCAUGAGUACCUCUGUUUCCUUGGUCGGUUCGCCGGCCACUGGACCUUUAGUAACCAAUUUGUAAUUCUUGAAUUGUCUGAAUCCAAACAAAAUUAAAAAUUAAAACUUUCAACAAUGGAUCUCUUGGCUCUGGCAUCGAUGAAGAACGCAGCGAAAUGCGAUAAGUAGUGUGAAUUGCAGAUCUCCGUGAAUCAUCGAAUUUUUGAACGCACAUUGCGCCCUUUGGUAUUCCUUAGGGCAUGCCUGUUCGAGCGUCGUUUCAAUGUUCAAGCUUUGCUUGCUGUUGGGCGUCUGUCCCCGCCAUUUCGCGUGGGGACUCGCCUUGAAUCUAUCAGCGUCCGUAUGGUUAGGCUAAGAGCGCAGCAGAUUACAGCGCCUCGAAGCCUAGCGUAACGCCUGCUGUAAAAUUACAUUUAAACUUUUUUGACCUCGAAUCAGGUAGGGAUACCCGCUGAACUUAAGCAUAUCAAUAAGCGGAGGAAAAGAAACCAACAGGGAUUGCCCUAGUAACGGCGAGUGAAGCGGCAACAGCUCAAAUUUGAAAUCUGGCCCUCUUCUUAGGGGGUCCGAGUUGUAAUUUGCAGAGGGUGCUUCGGCGUAGCAGCGGUGUAGGUUCCUUGGAACUGGGCGUCAUAGAGGGUGAGAACCCCGUCUGUCGCCGCCUUGCGAUCGCUUUGUGAAGCCCCUUCGAAGAGUCGAGUUGUUUGAGAAUGCAGCUCUAAAUGGGAGAUAAAUUUCUUCUAAAGCUAAAUACCUGCCAGAGACCGAUAGCGCACAAGUAGAGUGAUCGAAAGAUGAAAAGCACUUUGGAAAGAGAGUGAAAAAGUACGUGAAAUUGUUGAAAGGGAAGCGCUUGCAGCCAGACUUGCCUGCGGUUGAUCAGCCGAGCUUUUGCUUGGUGCACUCUUCCGUAGGCAGGCCAGCAUCAGUUCGGGCGGUUGUAGAAAAGCCUUAGGAAUGUAGCUCCUCUCGGGGAGUGUUAUAGCCUAGGGUGUAAUGCAGCCUGCC